AGACGAUGAGGUAGAUAGGUUCGAGGUGGAAGUGUGGUGACACAUGGAGCUGACGAAUACUAAUCGAUCGAGGACUUAACCAAAA
Molecule: ribosomal RNA, 85 nt
Filed under: Lysinibacillus fusiformis
Lineage: Bacteria; Bacillati; Bacillota; Bacilli; Caryophanales; Bacillaceae
Description: partial 23S ribosomal RNA
Rfam family: Bacterial large subunit ribosomal RNA
Source: RNAcentral